Molecule: ribosomal RNA, 425 nt
Filed under: uncultured bacterium
Lineage: Bacteria
Description: partial 16S ribosomal RNA
Rfam family: Bacterial small subunit ribosomal RNA
Source: RNAcentral
GUGGGGAAUCUUAGACAAUGGGCGCAAGCCUGAUCUAGCCAUGCCGCGUGAGCGAUGAAGGCCUUAGGGUUGUAAAGCUCUUUCGUGGGGGAAGAUAAUGACUGUACCCCAAGAAGAAGCCCCGGCUAACUCCGUGCCAGCAGCCGCGGUAAUACGGAGGGGGCUAGCGUUGUUCGGAAUUACUGGGCGUAAAGCGCACGUAGGCGGACCAGAAAGUCAGAGGUGAAAGCCCGGGGCUCAACCCCGGAACUGCCUUUGAAACUCCUGGUCUUGAGGUCGAGAGAGGUGGGUGGAAUUCCGAGUGUAGAGGUGAAAUUCGUAGAUAUUCGGAAGAACACCAGUGGCGAAGGCGACACACUGGCUCAUUACUGACGCUGAGGCGCGAAAGCGUGGGGAGCAAACAGGAUUAGAUACCCGAGUAGUCC